RNAcentral lists this ribosomal RNA (491 nucleotides) under uncultured bacterium. RNAcentral describes it as "partial 16S ribosomal RNA". It matches the Rfam family "Bacterial small subunit ribosomal RNA", at positions 29 to 507 of the family's 1533-position model. The record is from RNAcentral.
GUGAACGCUGGCGGUAGGCCUAACCCAUGCAAGUCGUACGGCAGCACAGUAAGAGCUUGCUCUUACGGGUGGCGAGUGGCGGACGGGUGAGGAAUACAUCGGAAUCUACUUUUUCGUGGGGGAUAACGUAGGGAAACUUACGCUAAUACCGCAUACGACCUACGGGUGAAAGCAGGGGAUCUUCGGACCUUGCGCGAUUGAAUGAGCCGAUGUCGGAUUAGCUAGUUGGCGGGGUAAAGGCCCACCAAGGCGACGAUCCGUAGCUGGUCUGAGAGGAUGAUCAGCCACACUGGAACUGAGACACGGUCCAGACUCCUACGGGAGGCAGCAGUGGGGAAUAUUGGACAAUGGGCGCAAGCCUGAUCCAGCCAUACCGCGUGGGUGAAGAAGGCCUUCGGGUUGUAAAGCCCUUUUGUUGGGAAAGAAAAGCAGCAGGUUAAUACCCCGCUGUUCUGACGGUACCCAAAGAAUAAGCACCGGCUAACUUCGUG